Molecule: ribosomal RNA, 557 nt
Filed under: uncultured archaeon
Lineage: Archaea
Description: bacterial SSU rRNA
Rfam family: Archaeal small subunit ribosomal RNA
Source: RNAcentral
CUCGAGGCCAGAUCUUUCCGGUUGAUCCCGCCGGACCUGACUGCUGUCGGAUUGAUACUAAGCCAUGCGAGUCUUUGUAGCAAUACAAGGCAGACGGCUCAGUAACACGUAGUCAAUCUACCCUAUGGACGGGGAUAACCUCGGGAAACUGAGAAUAAUACCCGAUAGAUCAUUAUGCCUGGAAUGGUUUAUGGUCGAAAUGAUUUAUCGCCGUAGGAUGGGACUGCGGUCUAUCAGCUUGUUGGUGAGGUAAUGGCCCACCAAGGCUAUAACAGAUACGGGCUCUGAGAGGAGAAGCCCGGAGAUGGGUACUGAGACACGGACCCAGGCCCUAUGGGGCGCAGCAGGCGAGAAAACUUUGCAAUGUGCGAAAGCACGACAAGGUUAAUCCGAGUGUUUUCUGCUAAAGAAAUCUUUUGUCAGUCCUAAAAACACUGAUGAAUAAGGGGUGGGCAAGUUCUGGUGUCAGCCGCCGCGGUAAAACCAGCACCUCAAGUGGUCAGGAGGAUUAUUGGGCCUAAAGCAUCCGUAGCCGGCCGUGUAAGUUUUCGGUUAAA